UUUGAGCCUUAACAUACAUCC
RNAcentral lists this non-coding RNA (21 nucleotides) under Arabidopsis thaliana (thale cress). The record is from RNAcentral. Lineage: Eukaryota; Viridiplantae; Streptophyta; Magnoliopsida; Brassicales; Brassicaceae.